UUAAAAAGGGAAACUAAAACGUCCUAAACAAUACUAAUUAGCAAACAAACCGUAAUUGUAAUUUAACCUUCUCCUGAACUCAUUUUUCCUCUUUGCUCAGAUAAAGACUAGUGUGGGAAUUGGCAACUCUUAGCCUAAAUCCUUAACAAACCUUACCCUCCAUCCUUACUGCUCAUCGAGAUUCUUCAGAGUUUCAAAUAACCCUACAAUCCUCCGGUCUCAGUGCACAACUACCUACCUGACAUCCUUUAGCCUCUACCACUAUCUUCAAUCAAUAAAUGGUCCAACUCUUAGGGGAUUUCUUCCACUAAGUCCUUUUGAAUAAAAUUAAUAUAUCAUAUAAUUACAUAAUAUUUAUUACUAUAUAAACUGGUAUAGUAUUUAAUAAGGUAGCUAGUAAAUUGGACAAAUUCUAUAUUUGACUUCUUAUAAAACAAAAGGGACCAAAAAUAAGAAAUGUCAAAUGAAAAAUCUUCCUCUUUUCAACCUUAAAAUAAAAUUUCCAUACGCCAAUACAAAAAGCAAUAUAGUAAUGAUUUUAUCUUUGGCCACCUUGCAUGCAUUUUCCGCCCACGGAUAGAUACUCUUUUUGUUCAUAUUGUAGAUGUAGUUGUAUCCCAUUGAAUUAUCAUUUAUUCUACAUUUAAUGUAUCGUGGGGUAUAUAUCGUUUUCAGGAUAAAUAACCAAGAAUAGGUGGAUUUUGGAGGAAAAUAAAAAACAUAUUUUCUUUAAUAACUUGAUAUAUUAGUAUUUUUUGUGAGAUGAUUAGGUGUUAGUAUUCCUCUCCUAUGACUAAAGGAUUAAACUAUUAACAUUAUCUAAUUAAAAGAGCUGAUGUGUCAAGUUAUUAAAGAAAACACGUUCUCAAAAACGUCAGUAGAAAACGCUUCCUGCUGGACGUGUUUUUUAUUUCUCUCUCUAAAAUCAGCAUAAAUUCUUAAUUACUUUUUUAAAAACGACAUUUUCUUCAAAUUUACCUCGAUUUUCAGGUAAUACCAGUAAAUAACAACACAAUACUUUAUUAUUAGAUAAAAUAGGGGCAAUGUAAGAAUUUUUUAUAAGGAUCGAAAUUAAUUAAGUUAUAUAUUUUGAUGAAAGCUAAAAUGCAAUUUCACUCAUAUAUUGGUUUAUAUUUUGAUAGUUUUCAAAUGGACUAAAUUGAAAUUCUAGCAUUUUGAGAGAUCAAACUACAAUUUUUUCUUAUAUUAACUUAAAAUUCUUAUACAUUUGAGGAACUAAAGCAACAAAUUUCCAUGUUGAGGUGUCAAGUCUCUACUUGCCCCUUCCUUCGCGCCUGGGUAAAAUAAAAAUAGUACAUGAUUAAUAAAUAGUAAUAACUUUAUUCAAACAUAAUUAAAUAUUAGUUAUAAUUAUUAUAUUUUUUUUCAAGCUUUUAAGUUUAAAAUAUUGAGUGAAGUGAUAAGAUAAAUUGCACCCUAAAAAAAGCAUAAAAAAUAUAUUAUUAGUAUUUAUUUAAAAAUUCUCUACUAUUUUUUUAUUAACGAUGAUGUGUCAUAUUGUUAUUCAUUAAAAACAUGCGGAACUCAUAACAGUGCAUCAAAUAUAUAUAUUUAUUUAUUUUAUUUUAAUUUCCUUUCCCCACAUAUUAACUUAAAAAUAAAAAUGAGUCAAGUCAGACAAUGGAGGAGGGGGCUGGCCUCCCUAAGAUGAAUUUUUUUUUAUUUAGAUCUUUUUAAAAGUUAUAAAAUUUUAAAUUAAUAAAAAUAAAUAAAUAUAUAUCUAUUAAAAUGACAAAAUUAUAUUUAAUAAUAAAAAUAAUAAAAAAUUAAUUUAAUUCUCUCAAAAUUAUAAAUAUAUAGACUAUUAAAAUGACAAGAUUAUAUUUAAUUUCGAUUUCUCAAAAAAGAAAAUCUAAUUUCGCUGCCGAAGUCAGAUAUCAAAUAAUACCUGAGAAAGGGGACUAGAACUAAAAUGGGUCAAGUAAGCUUAUACGUGUGAAUCAUGGGUUAAUAAUCCGGUUUGUUAAUUUCCUUUUACAUUAAUUUUCAGUUCAUAUAUGGACAAGUCAAUGAUUUAAUAAAACUUCAAAGGAUUAUUUGUAUAAAAAAAACUUUAAAAGUUACAAAAGGGCGAUUAAACUAUUCGAAAGUUUUUAUUUAAAUUACUGAAUCAUUUAAAAAUUUUAUUUAAGUUAUUGGGUUGUUAAAUUUUUCUUAAAAAAAAGAGUCUAGCUAGCUAGCUCCAAAAGAAGGUUUAAUGAUUGAUACAGUGGAUUAGUUCCCAUUGACGAGAAGAUAAGCAUACUUUAAAUUCAAUUCGAUUUGACAGUCAAUAUCAGAGAUGAGAUUAGAAGUUGUUUGACGUUUUCAAAGUUGUUUUUUUUUUAAAUGAACUAUAAAAGAGAAAGGGAAAAAUAAUUUUCAAUUGGUGUAGACGAUGCGAAUAAAGAAGGUCAUACAAUAAUGGUUUUAACAAUUCUAUAACUUAAAUGAAAACUUUCAAAUAGUUUAGUAAUCAUUUUGUAAUUAUUUUAAAGUUAAAUGACUCAAACGUAAACUUAUUAAUAAUUUAGUGACUCUAAAAAUAGUUUAUCUUUUAAAAAAUACAAAUUAUAGAAAAUCAGAAAAAUUGAAGUUAAAGAAAUUGUUUAAAUAAUUAAUAAGUCACAAAGAAUAAAAGCUAUUCCAACUUUUCUUAAUAAUAUGCAAAUAAUAAUUAAUUUAUGAUAAAAAUUAAUCAAAUAAAAGUAUGAAAAGAAAAUAAAUGUAGAUUAAAAUAUUUUUAUAAAAUAAAAUAAUAAGAUAUAAUAAAUAAAAAUUUAAAUAAUGUUACCUCAAUUUUAGACAAAUCAAUAAUUAAUUUUGAAUUAAAAUUUUGAAGCAAGGUAAUAUAGUAUUUUUAUAGUAUUAAAAUAUAAUAUUUAAAUAAUUCAUAUUUUACAAUAUUUUUAUUAUUAAAAGUACAUUUUUAAUAUUUAUGUGUGGAAAAUAUUAAUUUUAAAAAAUAUAUAAUUAAAAUAUAAUAAUUUAUGCAUACAAUUAAAGUUAAACCUAUUUCAACAACAUUGACAUAAACCGUGAAGUACCAUAGGCUAGUGGAUCUUUUAUUGCAUGCGUGCCACGUGGUGGUGAUAAUGGGAAAUUUUACACGUGGGACACCAUCGGCUUAAUGAUAAGUGAAAUGUUGAAAUUAAAUUAAAUUAAAAUCAAAAUCCUGUAAAGAAUUCGCAAUUGCAGAGAAUAAUGCCCCCCACCAGCAAUCCCAGUAAGAUUUUCCAGUUCGUCAGCGUGACGCCACGUGUACGCAAAUGGGACAAUAAGUAUAUUAUAUAAGUUGAAUUUAGAUUUUAAAUUUAAGUACUAAAUUCAUACAAAAAUUUCAAGAAUUAAAUUAAAAACUUUAAACACUAAAGUGAACAUUAAAACAAAAUUAAAGGUCAAAUUAGGAUAAAAAAAUUAAAUAUUAAUACUAUUAUAUAUAAAUCCAUAUAUAAUAUAUCCAAAUUUAAAUAUUAAAGCCAUUUCCUUUUAGUUUCUCAAAGCAUCUAUUGGAACGAGUUCAGUAACUAAUUUUUACAUUUUGUAAGUUUAUUAAAUGGAUAAAUAUUGGGCACGAAUUUUAAAGUUGCUCCAUACCCAAAACGAGAAUCGAACUCUGAAUUACUAAUUAAGGUAAAAAAAACUCUCACCAUAUCACUUAACUCUCGUAAUUGACAAUAGCUAUUAUUAAUAUAAUACAUAUUAAUGCUUUAAAUAUUAAAUAGAUGAGUAAUGAGAAACAACCAAAAAUUCCUUCGACCCUAGUGUUUGGUUUGCUAUCAUCCACCUUUUAGAAAAACAAUCAUAAGAUAAACUAUCGCUAUUGUUGAACCAAAUUAACUCUAUUUUAUUUAAUUUAUACUGAGAUUUAAUUGCUUAUAAUAUAAAAAAUAGGCACACUAUUAAAUUUAGUCUUCACAUUUACAUUUAUAUUUUUUAUCGCUUCGAUUUUUGUUCUUUUUUAAGCUAAAUUUGAUCAUCAACCAUUUAGAAAAGAGUUGAAAUGAUAUCUUUUAAACAACAAUACUAACUAAAAUAUUAAAAUUUUAAACACAACUUGCAUGGCAAUUCACGUGCACUUUAUGCUAAAUUUUUUUAAUUCUUGUGAAAUUUCUAUAUAUUUUUAAUUUUAAUUUGAUUUUUUUAUAGAUUUUGAAUUAUUUGUUAGCGUGAUAUAUAAAACAAAUCAUGUUAUGUUAGCAUGAUGUGUACAUGGGCUGCCAUGCAACUUGUACUCCAACAACGUUAAAAAAAUGUUUUAGUCAUUAUUUCCGUUUAAAAAACAAUUUGACUCUUUUUUAAAAAGUUAAAAGCUAAAUUUAACUAAAAAAAAGAGAAUAAGGGCCAAAUUUACAAAAAAAUGUAAACAUUGAUAGUUAAAUUUAUUAUUAUGUCUAACAAAUAUUAUACAUAAAAAGAGUAAUCAUUUAUUUAUAUAUUUGAUUUUUAUUUUUUAUUAUACGUAAUAGGAUAUAUAUAUCACACUCUUAAAAUAAAACAAAUUGAAAUCUAUUUUUAUUCUAUUUAUAUUUAGUUUUUAAUUUUUUAUAAUAUAAAUAUAAAUUGUUUAAAAAACCUUAAAUUUUUUGGUAAAAAAAUAUUUUUUUUUUCAAAAUUUUUGAAAAUGGUUAAUUCAACCUAUUCGAACCAAUAAAAUUAAGUUAGACCCAAAUAUUUUUAGAGUGUUUGAUAAAUUUUAGAUGAUUUGGGUACAAAUGGAAGAUUGAGUAGUCAAACCCUCUAAUUGUAAUGUUUGGUGACUAGAGGUUUGCAAGAGCUUGUUGAAUUAAAACCUCUAAAACAAAAAAUGCAAUGAUGGACAACUUUUUUCACAACUGAUUGGGAAUGAGAUAUGUGGAAUAACAUAUCUAACCAUACUUACUAAAAUAUUACCCCCUUUGUCACAUGCUUUCAAACCUAAUAGGAGUGUCAAUGUAUCAAUAGCCUCCAUUCUCCCAUUUUCAAUUUCACCUCCAAAAUUCAAAGUAAAUCUCAAAAAAAAAAAAAAAACCCUCCACUGAGAUUCAUUUACAAUAUGAUUUUAUCCAUUAAAGUUAAUUCUUUCUAUGCAUUUGCAUUACAUAACUACAUCAGAUUAAGUAAAUUUUUUGACCCAACAUUUAGGGUCAUAGAUGCAUAUCUGGAUUUUAUUCCUCUCGAAGCAUUUUCGGAUGCCAAAUGCAUUUUCACUCAAGAAAUCGAGCGUAUGAGUAGUAAUGAAAUGACAAAAGUUUGUAAUGAGAUCACUACUAGUUUCGUGUUUCUUAAAUAUUUGUUUUUAUUUGUUUGGAUAUGUACUAUUUCUUAAAUAUUUAUGUACUCUUAAUAUAUUUUCAAUUUACUAAUAUAAAAUGAUUUCUUAUACAACUAUGUAUUAAUUGAAAUAUGCUACUUGACAAAUUUAUUCAGAACAUGACAUAAUUAUCAGUAAGAAUAUAGUUUACAAUUAUAUCGACAUACAAUUAAAAAUAGCUAUCAGCCAAUUGUUGAACGGGAACUUAAUAUUCUAUUCAAUUUCAAUUCAUUUCUUAAAAAUAAAUAAAUUAUAAAUUAGUCAAAAAAAAAUUCUUAUCAUCCUAACAUAUAUAAUAUUUAUAAAUACAAAAUUGAAAGAAAAAGAUACUAGAAGAGAGUGUGUUUCCGCGUAGACAGAUAGGGAUCGAGAGAGUAGAGACUGUUUGGGUAUUGAGAAAUGGAUAGAAUGAGUGAAGAAAUGAAAAGCUUUCUUUAGUUUCUUCGUUUUCCUUGAAUCUGAACGAAGCCGCCUCGUAUACCUAAGCUUAUAACAAAAUCCAUGAUCUAUCUAUCAUCAACCCACCUUUCUUUCAUAUAGAAUUGUUCAGGUUUUUUUUUCUCUUUGAUGAUCUUUCUGGAAGGGUUCAUACUUGCAGUUCACACCAUCUCCAUAUAAAUAAUUGCUACUUUUUUGUUUUCUGUUUCUUUGUGAACCAAUAAUUCUUUCAGUGGGUGCAAAAGCAAAAAAAAAGGAAGUUAUUAUUGAUCUUGUAUUCUUGUGUGUGUGUGGUUUUUUCUUUGUUUGCGUGUCGUAGUUGUUUAUGGAAGGACUACAUCACCAUCAGUAUUAUCAUCGUCAACAUCACCAGCAACAACACCAGCAACAGGCUAUGAAUGUUAACGUUGAUGUUGAUAGGCUCCCUCAAUGGAGUAUUCAAGAGACGAAGGAGUUUUUAAUGAUCAGAGCAGAGCUGGACCCAAGUUUCAUGGAAACCAAAAGGAACAAGCAGCUUUGGGAAUUUAUCUCUACCAGGUUGAAAGAAAAGGGUUAUAAUCGUAGCGCUGAACAGUGCAAGUGCAAGUGGAAAAACCUCGUUACUCGAUACAAGGUAACCAAAUAUUUGAUUUAAUUAACCCUUUACUAGGUUAACGAAACCCUAUUAGGCUAUUACUUAUAUAUAUCACUAAUUCAGGGAUGUGAAAUGGUGGAAGAAGAAGCUAAGAGACAACAACAGUUCCCGUUUUAUAAUGACUUGCAGGCCAUAUUCUCGGCAAGGAAACAAACUACUUCAAAGAAGCUAUGUUCAGAUGAGGAAGAAGAUAAGGGUAGGUAUAGGGGGAAGGAGAAAGGCAAAAAGGGUGUAAGCAUUAGUGGAAGUCCUAGCGAAAGUAUAAAUGAUGGUAAUGAUAUAAAGGAGAUUUUAAAGUGUUUCAUGAGACAACAAUUGGAAUUGGAGAUACAAUGGAGGGAAGCAUUGGAGGUGAGGGAAAAUGAAAGGAGAUUGAAAGAAAUGGAGUGGAGAAGGACAAUGGAAGCAUUGGAGAAUGAAAGGGUAAUGAUGGAUAUAAGGUGGAGGGAAAAGGAAGAACAAAGAAGAAUAAGGGAAGAAGCUAGGUCUGAGAGAAUUGAUGCUCUUGUAACAACACUAUUGAACAAGCUUACAAGAGAUGAUCACAUGAAGUGAUUAUUUUGAGAGGUAAUUUGUCCUAUUCCUUUCAUUUUAUCUGUUACUCAUGUACUAAUCACCAUCGGUUCAUGUUAUACUUGUAUCUAAUGGUAACGGAUAAGAAAAUCAUGGAAGGAAGCUUGAUGAUCUCUUUUGCAAACCCGAGUCUUCCAUUGCAAGUAAAAGAGAGCUUUUAGUGUUUUUUUUUUUUAAUAUUGCUAUUUUCCUUUUCAUUGUGUUACCAUUACGAGGUGCACAUUUUAAAAGCACCAUGAAUAAAAAUCUUUUCCAACUAGGUCUAGAAAUCUUUGGUGUAGGUAAAGGAAUUAAACAAUCUAUAUAGCAUCCGAUCCACAAACAAGUGUGUUAUAGAUACUGCUAAGUCAAAACUAAAUAUUCUAUUGUAAUGGAACAAUUCACUGAUUCAUAGUGGACACUAUUGGUAAUGAUCCAUUUUGUUAGUAAUGGUUUUGAUGGUUUGAGGUUUUAUAGAGUAAGAGAAGGACUAGCGGGUGCUGGAGUAGUUUUGGAUAAAUGUUCUCGUGGUUAGCCUAAAAGCCGAGACUAUUGCUACUUAUUUGGGUGAUUUGUACAUUGCUUCAUGUUUAAGAGUUGGUAAUACGGGAGGAGGUAGGUUCGAGUGCGCUGAAAGCGUAUUAUCCUAUUUAUGAGUUGGAGAGAGACUAUAGGUAAUUCUAGGCAUUAAUGUAUCAAAAAAAGUAGAUAUAAUCAGAACUUAUAAUGAGGUUAUUAAAAAAUUUUGAUAAUUAGCAUUAGGGUAAUUAUUUACCACUGCAAAUAAUUAUAUGUAUAUGUAUAUGUAUAUGUUUGUAUUUGUUAUGUCUAUAUAAUAUUGCUAAAUUCAACCAUCAACUUGUUGAAAUAUUAAUGAUAUAUAUAUAAAAUUUAUUGUGUUGAAAGCUAUAUAUUACUUAUAUAAAUAUGCAUGCACUAAACCUAACCAACUUAAUUAUUAAAAAACAAGAAAAAUAACUUUGGAAUAGCCCCUAAUUAAUGGAUGAAUUUGAUAUGAAAAUUAAUGCUUCUAAAAUGAUGAGGAUCUUUUGAACAAUAAUUAACUUUAGGAUUUCACAUUUCAAGGUGUUAAAUAUAUUAUGUGUUAGUGGUAGGAUAAUGAUAACAAAUGGAUCACUACAUUUGGGUUAUCUAUGUUAUAUCUACCAUUAUGCCUAGCUAACUACCACCUUCAAAUAUGAAAAAGGAAGGAUAAUGGGAACUAAACGAGGAACAAGAUUUCCAUGUGGUAUAAAUAUAAAUUUCGUGAUGUAUUCGUUUUUUUUUCCUCUCUUUUCUUGAUGAAUUCUAGUGAUUUAUUGUUUGGCCUUCAUGAUUUGGCUUGUUAGGCUGGUCCGUGGAUAUUGUUUCAUGGGUACAUUUCAAGAUAAGGGCCAUGCAUAUGCAUGCUCAAUUUGAAGUUAUAAAUGUAAUAUAAAUUUGUUGAGGGGAAAGAGAUAAGAGGUGGAGGAUGGUGGAUAUCAUGAUGGCAAAGUGUUGAGAAUAGUAAGAGGAAGAGGAGGGUGUAUAAUGCAUAAAGGUCAAGGAUGAAUAUUUAUAGGAGAGGGUAAUCUCUUCUUGACCUUGAGUCUUGACACAUGGUUUGCAUCUAUUUUAUUUUGGUUAGCUAUUCAAAGAGUAUGCUAACCUUCUAGAUAAAUGACGAUGCAAUUGAUAUAGAUUUGAAAGGAUCCUACAUGUAAUACAUGCUAAGAGUAACCCAACACUUAUCUUUGGCGAAGCAGUUUAACAUGUUAUGCAUGUAUUUGUUUGUGAAGUUUAUAGUUGAUGAGGAGUUACUUGGUGCUGAAGUCACAGUUGGUAAAGUCAUUAUUGUGUAAGGUGUGAGCGAGUGUUAGCCUUCUAGAUAAGUGGUGAUGCGAUCGAUAUAAUCUUGGUAGGACCACACAUGUAUUUGGUGAAGCAAAUUAAAGGAGUUCCACGUGUUGUGCAUGUAAUAGUCCACGACAUUCAUAGUUGGCAAGGUGUUAGAUUAAGUGGUAACAAUAGGUGGUUGUGCGCUACACAUAGUCUAGUCUGACAAGUUGCUCCCACUUUGUUAAAUCUGCUACCUCUUUAGGUAGCCUCAAUCACUUAUGCUCUCCAUGGAGUUAGGUGACAAAACCACAACUGAGAAUAAUAUUGACAUGUUGAGAAGUUUGUUGGGUGACACUUCAAAAACUUCUCCAAAAAGAUUUGGCCUCCCUGCUAGAUUAAGUGGUAGCAUAGAUGCCCAAUAAUAUCAUAUAUAAGAGCAUGGAUUCAAACUAGUGGUGGAUCCUGAGACUAAAUUUUGGGGUUAGUAAAAUUUUCAAAAACUUUAGGAGCUUUUUUCAAAAUUUUGUGAAAUUAAUGAGAUUUUUCAAAAUUUUAAUGGGACCUAAUUAAAAUUUUCUAGAAAUUUCAAGAGAAAAAUUAAAAUAUCCCAAAAUUUUAGGCAACCAAGGACCCCUAAGCCCCAUAAGGAUUCGCCUUUGGUUCAAACCCCAAAUGUUUACAUUUCUUUGGUAGGUGGGUGCGUACCAUGCACGAUGACGAGUCACUCGCGUUUUGUUGAACUUGUCACCUUCUUAGACAACCUCAAGUACUCAAGCUCUUCAUAGAGUUAAUUAGAAGACAAAACCCUUUUAAGGUCAAUACUUAUUUAUGAUAGAACUUUAUCACCCAACUUUAUAAAAACCCUGAAUGUCUACGAUUAUUUGAAAAGAUAACAAAAUCCCUCCAUAAGAUCAAUUGACAAGCUUUUUCUUUUAAGGUCAAUACUUAUAUAUGAUAGAAUUUUAUCACCCAACUUUAUAAAAACCCUGAAUGUCUACGAUUAUUUGUAAACAUCACAAAAUCCCUCCAUAAAAUUAAUUCACAAAGUUUUUCUAAAUAAAACAUAAAAAUAGCCCUUUUUUCUUAUAAUUUAUUUAAGAUAAUUAAAGUUGAUUUUCCUUUACUUUGCUUAAGAUUCAUGUUAUUAUGCUUUGGUUUAGGAUGAUAUUUCAUUUACAUGCAAGCUAGCUAACAUAUAAACCUUCCAAGUUUGGAGUAUUGUUUUUUUUGUGGUAGCUAUAACCCCUUUUUUAUUAUUGCUUUUCUUUUAUAUUUAAGGUUAUUAUAUGAUAAAUCAUAAGAUUUAAAUAUUGUUGCGUGUUUCAUUUUUAUAAUAAUUAUGUUUUUAUUAUAUUUCACAUCACUUUUUUAUAUAAUUAAUAUUUUUAUCGUGGGUUUAAUUGAUGUGAAUUAUGCAUAUCAAAUUUUGAAUAAAAUAAAAAUAUUUGAUUAUUCGUAUUAUAAAAAAAGAUUUUAACUAAUAAAUCACAAAUAUUAAUAAAAACAAUAUUUUAAUUAAUAUAAUAAAAUAUUAAAUUAAUUUAAAAAUUAAACUUAGAAAGUAAUUAAACUAGAUCAACAAAGGAAGCUUCUAGUAUGAACUAAUUUAGCCAAAUUAUCUGCAAUUGAGUUCUCUUCUCUCGGCUCCUGAUUAUGGUAAAAAUAGUAAUGGAAUCAUUUUUUCGAAAGAAGGUGUAACCCACUUUUACAUAUAUUUUAAUUUUACAUGUAGUAUAAUAAUAAGUGUGUAUACAGUAAUUUUAAGUCGAGAUGGAGUAAAAGAAAGUCUAAAUAUGAAAAAGUGUGAACGCAAAAGAUCAUGAUAUUGCAAUAGCAACAGUUAUUCCACUACCUCACACAUUACAUCAUCAUAGACAGAUCAUGUCGUGUUUUGCGGCAUUCAAAAGCCAGACAAUUAAUUCUACUGUGUUCUUUGACUAUCUUCUUCGUUUUAUUUUCAAAUGGUUUCACUUAUGGUUGAUCAACGAAGAUGGAUAUUGGAGAACGUAAUCCAGCAAUAGGUUUUUGUGGUUGAGACCUAACCUAAAACUUAGAUUUAAUUGCACUCAUCAUCCUCUUUUAAAUUAAUUUUAAUUUUAAAAUAUUUUAAUUACAUUAUUAAGUCAGGGUUGAUAGCAGGGGCCGAAUUCAGAAUAAUUUUUUAGGGGUCGAAUGAAAUUUUAAUUUUUUAUAGUCUAUUUUUUUUUAUAAUUUUUAAAGAAUUAAAUCAAAUUUUUAUAAUUUUUAGGGGGGACAAAGUGCAAUUUUAUCUUUACUAAUUUAAAUUUUUAAAAUUUUUAAAAGGGUCUAAAUAAUAAUUUUUCAUUUUAUGAGGGGUCGAGGCCCCUGCCAGCCCCCUUAGCUUCGCAUUUGGUUGACAGAGACCCUGACCUCAGAUUUUUUUAUAAUUUGUAAUUUUUGAAUUAGUAAUGAUAAAAUUAUAUUUUAACAUCUAAAAUGAUAAAAAAAUGAUUUAAUCUUUUAAAAAUUAUAAAAGCAUAGACUAUUAAAAUAGUGAAAUUGUAUUUUUACUAUCGUAAAAAUAUAUAAUUUAAUUUCGGCCCCCAAAAAGUACCAUUUUUAAAAAUAAGAGUAUAAUAAUAUACUUCAAUAUAUUCAAACUCACAUCCUCUUACACUAAUAACAAUACCGAUACAAACUGAAUUAAGAUUUAAUCGAAUAUAUUUAAUAUAUUUUAUACUUAUAUAAAUUCUAACACAUGAAUAAUUCAUGUUAUAUAAAUUUUAUAUUAAAAUUGGCCAACUUAUUCUACGUUUGAUCGUAUCUUUGGAAUGUUUGGGAUGCUAGAAAGUCAAGAGGGUAGCUAAUUAGUUUAUAAUGAUGACGUAUAAUUAAUAAACAUAUGAACCAAGUCUCCACACAAAACUUCAAAAUGUUGGACGACAAUUUGGCAGUAGAAAACAAAAUUUACUUUAUAUUACAUAUAUAUAUAUAUAUAUAUAUAUAUAUAUAUUCUAAGUAGACCCAAUCAUGGGCGCAAGUGGAUACAAAAUAUUAGGUUUGUUUUCUAAGCACAGGAUUGAUUUGAAAAAAAAAGUUUAAUUUUUUUCUCAAGUUCAAUUUAGAUUAAAAAAGUUACACUCAAGCUUGACAUAUAUUAAAUAAUUUUAGAUUAUGUUUUUGUAAAAAUAAAUUAAAAAAUAUAUAAUACAUCAAAUACACUAAAAAUAUUAAAAUAAAUAUUUCUCAACAAAUUGAAAAUACAUUUAAAAAAGUCUUUAUAUUUAAAUGAUACUAAAAUAGUUGCAACUUAGCAAACAAAUGCCUCUAAAAUAAUAGAAAAAUUAACAAAAAAAAUAAGAGUUAUGCAAUAUACAAACAAUAACAAUAAAAUAGUAACAAUAUAAUAACGAAAUUGCAGCAAAGCAAUAGCGAAAUGGUAGCAAAAUAGUUUAUUCGGAUCGGGUCGAGCCCGUGCAAAAAAAAAAAAUCCUACCCGAGGCCUAAUCCAUUUAAAAAUUAGACAAUAUUAUUCAAACUCAUUUUUCGAACCUAUAUUUUUACUCAAUCUUUUUACUGUUCAAACAGAUCUUCUAGAGAAAUCACCAAAACCAUGUCUAAUUCUAAUAAUUCUAAGCUACAAAAUAUUCAUCCUUGCGUACGCAAAGGUGAUUCAGAUAAUUUAUUUAUAUAUACUUUUGAUUUUAUAAUUGUAUUAGUUUCUAAUAUAGUAUGCCUAGUGUGUGCUUUUAUGAAUUUAAUUUUUUAAUUAUUUUUUUUACAAAAAGUGCUUUUAAUUACUGUAAUUAAUGUAAAGUUAUUUUUAUUAUUCAAAUUAUUGAACAUAAUUAAAAUUAUAUUAAUUAAUUUAAUUUUAAUAAUUUUAAUAUUAUAAUAGUAAAAAAUUUCAAAUAGUAUAUAGUUAUAAGAUUUUUACUAUAUUCAAUAUGGUUUUAUAUUAUAUAAUUAAUACAAAGUAGCAUUAUUCAAAAUAAUAAAUAAUAAAAAUAAAUUAUAUAUAAAAAUUAUUUUGAUUAUCCAAUUUUAUUUAUUUUUAUUCAUUUUCUUAAUAGUUUUAAAUUUUAUAUAAAACAAUUAUAAUGUGUUAAAUUUUAUAUUAAAUUUGCGAUUUAAUUCAUGAAUUUUAGUUUGUCGAAUUUUUUUUAAAAUAUAUACUCCAAUCAACUUUUUCAUUCAAAACAAUUCAACUUUUUCAUUCAAAACGAACUAAUUUUACUAAAAUUUCAAGAUUAAGAGUCAAAACAAUAAAAAAAUCAAGAUCAAAAUGAUAAAAUAAAUAAAAGUUAAAAGACUAAAUUUAUGUUAAUGUCAUUUUAAAUUCCAAUUUUCAAUCUUGAUAUACACACUUUGUUUAGUUUCGUAUCAAUAUAUGCACCAAUAGAAUUUUUUAUGGGUUGGGUCACUCGGUUCGGUCUGAAAGUCCACUCGAAAGGUGAAAUGGUUUGGGCAAAAAUAUAAACCCUAAAAAUAGACUUAAGCAAAAAAAAUAAGGUCCGUUUAGAAAAUGAGUUGGGUUGCGGGUAUUAUUUCUUGGGCCCAGCCCGACUUUGCAAAAAAAAAAAACUAUUUUGCUGUUGUUUUCCCACUAGAGGUGCUCAUGGGCCGGGCCGGGCCCAUAAAAAAUUUCGGCCUGGGUCCUAGGCCCGGGCCCAGCCCAGUCCGAAAUAUGGGCCUAAGAUUUUGCCCAGGCCCGGCCCGGGAAAAAAUCAUAAGCCCGGGCCCGACCCGGCCCGACCCAUUUUUAUUUUAAAAAUUUUAAAAAAUUAAAAAAAGUAUUUUAAAAAUAUUUUAAAAAUAUUUUUAAAAUAUUUUAAAAUUAAAAAAAAUUAAAAAAAGUAUUUUUAAAAUAUUUUAAAAUUAAAAAAAGUAUUUUAAAAAUAUUUUAAAAUUUUAAAAAAUUAAAAAAGUAUGUAAAAAAUAUUUUAAAAUUAAAAAAAUAAAUAUAUUUAUUAUGUCAGGCCGGGCCGGACCCGGGCCAAAAAAGUGGUGCCCGAGGCCCGGCCCGUUUUCUAAGCGGGCCUCGUUUUUUUGCCCAGGCCUAUAUUUCGGGCCUAUAUUUUUACCCAAACCCUCCCAUAUUUCGCGGGGCCGUCGGGCCGGGCCGGGCCGCCCGGCCCAUGAGCACCUCUAUUUCCCACUAUUUUCCACCAUUUUGCUGUCAUUUCACUAUUAUAUUGUUAUUGUUUGGAUAUUGUAUAACUCUUGUUUUAUUGUUAAUUUUAUUAUUAUUUUAAAGGCAUUUGCUUAUUUAGUUGCACCUAUGUUAAUGUUAUUUAAGUAUAAUUUUUUUAAUUUAUUUUUAAUUUGUUGGGAAAUAUUUUAUUUUAAUGUUUUUAGUGUUUUUGAUAUAUUAUGUUUUUUUAAACAUUUUAUAUAAAUAAGUAAAAAAAAAUUAAUAUGGCCCUGAAUUUUAACAUUUUUAUCCAAGUCAGACUUGGAUAAAAAUUUAAACCCAUUUUUUUGGAUUGGGCCGAACCUAUCAAUCGAGCCUAAAAUUUUGUUAGCCCAAGUCCAAUGGAACUCUAUGCACCAUGUAGUCUUUCUCAACCCCAAAUAGGGCUGUAAAUGAACCGAGCUUGAACAAACAAACCUCUAUUCAUGUUCGUUUGUUUAUUUUUAAACUUGUUCGUUCCAGUUUGUAUUCAUUAAGAAUUUCAAAUUUUUGUUCAUGUUCAUUUAUUUAAAAUUAUGUGUUCAUGUUCGUUUGUUUAAUAUUUACGAACAUGUUCAUGAACAAUGUUAAUAAAUAAUAAAUAAACAAACAAUAAAUACACACGUUGUUUAGAUAUAAAAUAGUUAAAUAUAAAUAUUAAUAAUUAUAUUAUAAAAAAUACAAACCAAUAUAAUUUUAUUAAUAUAUACUAAUAGAAUUUUUAUAAGAAAAUAACAUUAUUAGAUAAACGAGUCAAUAAACGAACUUUUAAACGAGCUUUGGCACUUAAACUAUUUUCAUAAAAUAAUUAUUAUACUUAAAAAAAAUCAUCACAUAAGUAUAUUUUCUACGUCCCACAUGCAAAAACAUGAUCAUUAAACAUUCUUAUUUCGUUUUUAAUCCAAAUUCCAACAGAUAAACAAUCAAGUCAUAAUAACAUAUAUAAAUGAACAACUUUGCCUUCCCUUUUUGAUAUUAUUCUAAAUAAAACAAAACAAAAGCUCUCAAUUUCUAAAUUCCAACUCCAAUCUCAAGAAUAUAUAUAUAUAUAUAUAUAUUUAAACACAUACACUCUGUUUUGUUUUUGCAUCGGCGUAUCUCUACCAACUUGUCUGUUCCAAAGGUGAUUGUACAGUCCGUCUUUCACUCUUUUCAAGUUCUUUGAACGUGAAUCAUGUAAGUAAGCCUUGCUGUUUUCUUUCUUCUGCAUCCAUUUUCUUGUUUCAAAAGCUUUGAUUCUUGAUCUUUACUUCUUGUACAAGAAAACCCAACUUUUAUUACACCAUUGUUCAUAUAUAUAUAUGUAUGGUGUUUUCUUGGGUGAUUUUUUUGAAGUUCUUUUUGUCUCUUCUUGGUUUAAUAGUUACUGCAUGAUCUUCAAUUUUUAAAAAGAAUAGCAUUUGGAAUCCUAGUUUAGCUGAUAUUGAUCUUGUUUCCUAUUAUAUGUGUUUUCUGUGUUAAUGAUAUGAAAUCCUUUUACAUUGAAAUGUUGCAGACAAGACUGUAUGGAGAUGGUAAGUGAUUCUUAUUCAGAUUUGGUUCAAGCAAUUAUCUUGGACAACGUGACAUAUUUCGGUCGCCUCCUCUGUAGUUCAACAUAUGAUAUCGAUGCCGAAAUUCCUUUCCGGUGUUUCCCAUUAACUGGGUCUAAGGACGAGCUUAAGGUUUUGAUGAGGACACCAUUGAUGAUUGCUGCAAUGACUAAUAGUCCAAAAGUGGUGGAGUAUAUAGUUGGAAAUUUUAAGGCCAAUGUUGUUAGAGUUUCCACUUCAGAUGGAGCUACUGCAAUUGAGUGUGCUAUUAAUUCUGAUUGUUCUACAAUUGUUGAGAUGCUGAAAGAUGCUCGGAUCGGAAAGGGCCGACCUUCAACAGCGUCAUAUGGUCAAUCUAGUUCUGGUCAACGACGACGUUCCGUGUCAACUCAAAGCUUACAGGGCAGACAAGAGAUGGAUGUUUGGACACCGUUUUGUGCAAGAGGUGCUAUAGGUAGGCCAUUGAGUUCCAAUAAUCAAGUCAAUUGGAACAUGAACCAUUGGAUGCAGGGAAGGCAAGGGCCACCAAUUUCCAACAAUCAAGUAUAUAGGCAAGAGCCGAAUAUUCGAAUACCCUUUUAUGGAAGUUGUGCUGUAGGUGUACAGCCAUUGAGUUCCAUUAAUCAAGUUUAUGAAAACAUGAGCCGAAGCAUGCAGGGAUGGCAAGAACCGAAUAUACAGAGACCCUUUUAUGCAAGACAUGCUGUAGGUGAAUGGCCAUUGAGUUCCACUAAUCAAGUUUAUCAAAACAUGAACAGUAGCAUGCAGGGAAGGCAAGAGCUGAAUAUGACAACAUCCUUUGAUGCAAGAGAUGCUGCAGGUGAAAUGCCAUCGAGCUCCGACGAUCAAGUCCAUCAAAACAUGAACCGUAGCAUGCAAGAAAGGCAAGAGCUGAAUAUUCCAGCACCUGAUGAUGUAAGAGAUGCUGCAGGUGAAAUGGCAUCGAGUUCCAUCGAUCAAAACACGAGCCGUAGCAUGCAAGAAAGGCAAGAGCUGAAUAUUCCAACACCAGAUGAUGUAAGAGAUACUGCAGGUGAAAUGGCAUCGAAUUCCAUCGAUCAAAACACGAACCGUAGCAUGCAAGAAAGGCAAGAGCUGAACAUUCCAACACCUGAGGAUGUAAGAGAUGCUGCAGGUGAAAUGGCAUCGAGUUCCAUCGAUCAAAACACGAACCGUAGCAUGCCUGGAACGCAAGAGCCAAAUAUGCCAACACCCUCUGAUGCAAGAGAUCUUGCAGGUGAAAUGCCAUUGAAUUCCAAAGACCAAGUCAAUCAAGACAUGGACUAUGGCAUGCAAGGAAGGCAAGAGCCUGAAGNNNNNNNNNNNNNNNNNNNNNNNNNNNNNNNNNNNNNNNNNNNNNNNNNNNNNNNNNNNNNNNNNNNNNNNNNNNNNNNNNNNNNNNNNNNNNNNNNNNNNNNNNNNNNNNNNNNNNNNNNNNNNNNNNNNNNNNNNNNNNNNNNNNNNNNNNNNNNNNNNNNNNNNNNNNNNNNNNNNNNNNNNNNNNNNNNNNNNNNNNNNNNNNNNNNNNNNNNNNNNNNNNNNNNNNNNNNNNNNNNNNNNNNNNNNNNNNNNNNNNNNNNNNNNNNNNNNNNNNNNNNNNNNNNNNNNNNNNNNNNNNNNNNNNNNNNNNNNNNNNNNNNNNNNNNNNNNNNNNNNNNNNNNNNNNNNNNNNNNNNNNNNNNNNNNNNNNNNNNNNNNNNNNNNNNNNNNNNNNNNNNNNNNNNNNNNNNNNNNNNNNNNNNNNNNNNNNNNNNNNNNNNNNNNNNNNNNNNNNNNNNNNNNNNNNNNNNNNNNNNNNNNNNNNNNNNNNNNNNNUAUUUGCAGAAAAAGAAAAAGAAAACCCUGGAAUUAAUGUUAUAAGAUGAUGAAUUGUCUUCAGAGUUGGCCUGAACCGGUGGUUCGAGUUCAAUCUUUGUCUGAAAGUGGCAUAAGAGCUAUUCCAGACCGGUAUAUCAAGCCGCCAAGUGACAGACCCGGUUUUGAGAACCAAGAACACGUUGAUAUUCCCGUUGUUGAUCUUAAAAACCUGUUCAGCCAUGACCGUACCCUGCAUGAAGAAACCCUCAAACUCAUCUCCAGCGCGUGUAAAGAAUGGGGUUUCUUCCAAGCGGUGAACCAUGGCAUUAGCCAUGAGCUCAUGAAGCGUACGCGCGAGGUGUGGCGUGAGUUCUUUAACUCACCGCUUGAAGUUAAACAAGAAUACGCCAACGCGCCGACAACCUACGAAGGGUACGGUAGUCGGCUGGGUGUUCAGAAAGGUGCUAUCCUUGAUUGGAGUGAUUACUUUUUUCUUCAUUAUUUGCCUGUUCAUUUGAGGAAUCCAAGCAAGUGGCCUUCACUGCCCUCAUCUUGCAGGUGAGUUACAACUCCUUUUUAACUCGAAUACCAUUAAUCAUAUUAAAUCUGGAUUAAAUUUUUAUUGACACUUUAUUCCCAGCAGCCCACCGUAGACCAAAACCUCAACAUGGGAUUUUACUAUAAGGUUACUAUAUACAAUAUUAUGUACGUUAGGAUAAAUGGCAAAGUAAUCCAGUUUUGGUCAGAAUAUAUAUAUGCAGACCACCAUAAUUGCAUGGCUGCGUCCUAAAUAUUUAGAGAUGUUUAUUUUUGACCCUUUUAUUAAGGUUUAUGUGAUUGUUGGCCAUUUUCAAAGUUUAGAAAGAACAAUUCACCCUAAACAUUAACUUUGUUGUUCGGCAUAGUAGACUAUAUUUUGAUGAAAAGUGAAAAAAGGUAUAUGUAUUAUGUAAUUUUAUAAUAUUAUAUGGAACCUGCAAUAGCAAUAUUGAACUAGCCCGUUAAAAUUUCGGAUGUAGGGAUUUGAUUUCGGAAUAUGGUGCUGAAGUUGUAAAACUAUGUGGAAGGCUUCUCAAGGCCAUGUCUAUUAGUCUUGGAUUAAAAGAAGAUCAUCUACAAAAUGCAUUUGGUGGAGAAGAUAUUGGUGCUUGUUUAAGGGUCAAUUUUUAUCCAAAGUGUCCUCAACCUGACCUUACACUAGGCCUUUCGUCCCACUCGGAUCCCGGUGGCAUGACUUUGCUCCUCCCCGACCACGACAUUGCUGGUCUCCAAGUUCGUAAAAAUGGCAAUUGGAUCACUGUGAAACCCGUCCCCAAUGCUUUCAUCGUUAACGUUGGAGACCAGAUUCAGGUUUCAUUUUCUUCUGUAAAGUUUUAUAAUUUAAUCCCUAUAUUUACCAUCGAGCAUGGGGUUUGAAUCUUGUUUAUGUUUUAGGUGAUGAGUAAUGCGAUUUACAAGAGUGUUGAACAUCGUGUGAUUGUGAACUCAGUGAAAGAUCGAGUUUCCCUAGCUUUCUUCUGCAACCCCAAGAGUGAUCUACUCAUUGAACCAGCCAAGGAGCUUGUAAGUGAGGACCGGCCAGCGCUAUACAGUCCCAUGACGUUCGAUGAGUAUAGGCUUUAUAUUAGGACGUACGGUCCACGUGGCAAAACACAAGUUGAAUUUUCGGGAUCUAAUAGAUAGCUAGUAAUAUAUAUAUAUGUGUGUGUGUGUAUGAUCAUAUUAUAUAACUGUGUGUUACUAUUUGAUGUUUUACGUAAGUGUUUCACGAAUGGUUUGGUGUUAUAUUACCAAAGUUCUCAUUUCUAAUGCUCUUUUAGUUUAAGACAUUAAAUUAAAGUUGUCUCAACAUUUUAAGGAAAUAUAUUAAGCUAUUAAAGGAUAAAUAAGAAACAAAAUGAUUUGAGGUUGAUUUAUUUUGGAUUAAAUUAAUUUUGGUUCGUUGAAUUUCAAAUUAUUUUGAUCUAGUUCAAUUGUGCAAUUUAUUUGUUUUUGUAUUUUCAGAACUAGUCCGGAAACUGGGUUUAUUAUUUCAAUCGAGAUAGUUUUAUCCCGUUGGAUUGUCAUUCUACAAGUAUUUUAAUUUGAAGAGAUUUAUUCCUGUUCCUAUGAAUACGAAUCCACUUUUCUUUUUCUCCCGUAGAUCAACAUCUUCUAGAGUCUUUCUUGAACAAAUUAUGUCAUUUCAAGUUAAAAUCAAGACAAUUAUUCGAUAAGUUGCGUGUAGAAUUUUUUUUAUCCCCACAAAUAAAUUAAAGGCGUAACAAGUAUCGUGUUUAUUUAUAUAUUUAAUUUUCUUUUUAGUUGGACGAAAUUGAUUGUUUGAUUUUAUUUAUUUUGGCGGUGGUUAUUAUCCCACAAAUUGAUGGGUGUUGUUGAGUGUUGACAAUGAAUGGGAAUGAGUUUCACGUUUUCCCUCAUGGGUUAUUAAAAUUCUUUAUUUAUAUUUAAUGUUUCCGUCACGUGGACUUAUUAUAAAAAAUACAAAACUAGCUUUAGUUGCUUAAUUUACUGAAAGUUGAAAAUUUGUGUAAGUUUGAAUACUUUACUUUACUUACAAUAAUGAUUUGACACACAAUGUUAGUGACCCACUAUCAUGAGUCGACAAUACCUUACUUUCUUUCACUACCGAUAUCUGAUAUUAUUAUCAAUAUAAAAAAGAUACGGGCUCAAGUCUGCUGGAGCGUAUUGAAAAGGAGUUAUAGGUAGUUCUAGAUAAGGGAGAAGCGAGAAAAUUUUUUUAAGGGAAUCGAAAAUAAAUUUUAAUUUUUAAAAGAUUAAAUCAAAUUUUUAUUAUUUUUAAGAGGGUUAAAUGUAAUUUUAUCUUUACUUAUUUAAAGUUUUUAAAAUUUUAAAAUGUCCAAAUAGACCGUCAACCUCUCUAAAUACACUAUCUGUUCUGUAAAAAAAAUUAGAUAUAUAAAUUAUAACAUAAAAAAUUAAGUCAAUUAUGUACCAAAAAAUAGGACCAAAUUGCCCCUAGAUUUUAGCCUCAGCUUUCUUCGUAGAUAGGGACAUGAAAUUUAAGUGGGCCACUAAUUAUAAAUAUAAUAAUAUAUGCCUUUAGUGUAGGACACAAGGAAAGUCGUAAUCGUUCAUCCUAACAAACUCCAUUGGAUGAGCCAAAUAAUCAUAAUAAUAAGGGUACUAAUGUAAUUAAAUUAUUAAAUUUACGUUUUAAUCAUUUAAUUUUAAAUAUUAUAAAACAAUUAUUAAAUUAUUUAAAAUUUUCAAAUAACCAUAAUAAUAAGGGUGCUAAAUCAUUGGUUUAUUAAAUUGUUUUUUUAAAAAAAAACUUAAUUAGUGAGCUUCAAGCGACAAUUCAAUGACUAGGAUAAUAGGUCAAUACCCAUCGAUGAGUAGUAGAACACACCUUAGAUCCAAACUAAUUUGAUGAAAAGUGUUAGAGAUAAAAAAAAAAAAGAAAGUUAUGGGAUUUUAGUUCGCAGAUUUGUGACAUUCAAAGCUAUUUCGUGAAUGAAAAAAACUGAACUAUAAAAGUGAAAGUCAUGGAAUGGCGAUUCCAAUAGCUCGAUGGCUUAAAUGGAACCUUUCAAAUAGUUCAAUGACCAUUUUGUAACUUUUUAAAAUUGAGUUACUAAAAUAUAAAUUUACUAAUAGUUUAAUGAUCAUAGAUAUAAUUUUCCUAAUAAUAACAUCAACAUUCGUAUGGUAAGAAACUUAGUACAAUUUUAAGUAAAAUUUUGGGCUCGAAAAGUCUCAAAUAAAAAAAUAUGUUGAAAUUUUCAAAACUUUGAGAUCUAUAAUUCGAAUUUCGCCUUAUGUAAAUCAUACGUGGAAUCUAAAAUUUAUUAUGAUUAAAUUCUACUAUGUAUAGCCUCCCUCUAUAUUUAUUCCGGUAUAAAUUGAGAUAUACUUCAAUUUCCAAUUUGAUUGUAAUUUGUAAUGAUUUAUUAAUAAUUAAAGUUAAUUGCACCAAACAUUUUCAACUAUAACCAUCAUUUUAAAUUGAUCCCUGAGCUUCAAAAAGAUCUAAUUACAUCCUAAACUAUCAAAGUUAUAUCAAUUAAGUCCUUCCAUUAUUAAAAUAUCUAAUUUAAUGGUUAGAUGAUCCAUAAAAUCUCAUAUGACAUUAUUUAAAAUGAAAAUUUUAAAUGAGAGAAAGUGAACGCUAAAACAUUUGUAAAAAUUUCAAAAACAAGAUUUUUACUGUAUCAAUUUUCUUCAAAAAUUCACUUUAUAUUAUGCUAUGUAAAAUUUAUGUGUCAUUUAAUGAUUAUAGUAACGGAAGAUAUAACCUCGACGUAAUUAAAACGUUUAAAAGUUCAAAGAAAAAUUUAAAAUGAGUAUCAUAAAUUAGAAUAUAAUUAUAUUUUUUAAAAAAUAAAAUAAAAAGUAGGUAUCCUAAAGGCAAGUUGCUUUUCCUCAACACAAAUUGCCUCGUGAUUGAAUUCUCUAUCAGAUCUGCAGCAGAGCAACUAUUUUUUUAAUUUCAAAUCCUUUAUGUUUAUUUGACUGGUUGUCAUAUCACUAUCGUACCACGUUUUUUUUAAGCUUUCUUAAUGCUCUCUCCCCUCCUCUUUCUACAAAUUUUGCUAUUAGUCCCUGUAUUGUAAGUUACCAAUUUAGUCCUCCUACUCUAACUUUAUCAUUCUCAUUCUUAGUUUUUACCCUCCAAAUUUGAAUCUUGACUCAAGGCAUUUAAAUCCUUUAAAAUAAUUUCCAAAAUCUUAUACGAAAUCCACAUUACAAACUCAAAUAUCAAGUUGAACAUAAAAAUAUAUAAAAUAUUAAACCCAGGCUUAAAAAAAUACGUGAAGUAAAGACACAACUUGAAUAUGACGUUAAAAUAAAAAAAAUAUUAAUUUUUAACCAUAGAUACCAAAUUCGGUCGAUUUUACCAAAAUUUACCGGAUUAAAUCAAUUUUGAAAAAAUAGGUCCAGCUAGACACACUUUCAUCUUUGACAUGAUAAAAUAGUUGAAUGUUAUCCUUGAAUCACUAUUUCGAUUCCUCUCCUACUUCAUCUUUCAUCAAGUUAUGUACUAGACGGCAAUGUUAUCCUACUCAAUUUUUUUAACAUAUUAGUUCUUUGAUCAGACGGUUAGAUAGUUACAAUUACACCCGAAACUCAAGAAUAAAAACACUAACAUGUAACCAUUCGGCCAAAGCUAAAAGCGCGUUCAGUUGGAAGCGAUUUCCUACCAUAUCCACAGAAAACGCAUCCAGCUGGACGCGUUUUCUCAAAAUCGACCAAAUCUGGUAAAUUUGCAAAAACCAGCCUAAUCCAGUAUUUAUGGUUAAAAAUCAGCAUUUUUGGGUAAUUCACCCAAAAUAAAUAAACCUGAUACUCCAUUUUUUAACCCACCAUAUCCAAGUUACCCACGCAAUAGAAAAUAAAUAUUUAAAAUUUGAUCAACAUGUUCUAACUAUAUUCCACUAAAUAACAUUCAAUAACAAAAUUUACAGCUAAAAAAACCUUAGAUUGAUACAAUACAAAUGCUAUUAGAAGAAUGAUCAAAUUAACCCAAAAUGUUAUUACCAUCAUUAGUUACUUGAUGAUGAUGAUGAUGACGAUGGGUUAGUCAAACAAAAUAUAGUUUUGCUAAGUGAGUAUUAAACAAAAUAAUGACCUAACUUUAAGAACCUGGCUAGUUUCUGCAACAUUAAGAACCCAGCAGAGAAAAUGAAAAAUAUAUAGAAAGUAAUUCAUGAACUCCCCUAGGUAAUUGUUAUUCAGCCCAUCCCAGUUCAGCAACACUUGAAUCUCAUUUCCAAGAAAAAAAAUAAAACAUAUAAAACAGAAACAUAAAAGAAAAGGAAAAAUGUUAACUUACACAAGUUGGCUGAUUGUAGCAAUUAGCAAACAAGGGGUACCACCGAUUCUUAGGGAGAUGCGAUUAACCGCUUAAUACCGGUUUUCUGCUCUGCUGUAAGCUUGGUAGGGAACUUGAUGUUGAAUUUGAUUCUCAAAUUUCCUUUCUUUGAAGGAUCUUUAGGAAUAGGCAUUCCUUCCCCUUUUACAACUUCUUCAUAGGUUGGACUGAUGAUGUUGUUGAUAGGGACAGUCAGAUUCCGUCCGUCGAGUGUUAUCAGCUGUGCUGUAUAACCAGUUAGAGCUUCCACCAGAGAUAUCUUCUGAGUUACGAUAAGAUCAUUGCCGUCUCUCUUGAACACACUGUGAGGCUUCUCAUCAAUGAUGAAGACAAGGUCGGAGGGAAUAACCCCUCGUUGCUCAUUUCCCUUCUCUGGAAAAGUUAUUUUUGUGCCUUUUUUCCACCCCGGCUUAAUAUCAAUGGUAAGAAUUUCUUCCACUGUAGUAGGUCUCCUGUACCGGGAAAAACAAAAAUCAAAAUGUUAAGGAUGAUGUAAACUAUUAAACAUUUCCUAAACCUACAAAUAUGGAGUUUCUUUGCGGGGCCACACUGCACAUCAGUGUUGUCGAGGCAUGCGCCUAGGCAUGCCUGUGCCUUGCGCCUUAUACAGAAAAAACACCUUAGCCCCUUCCAGGUGAGGCCCAUUUGAUCAGGCACACACCUUGUGUGCCUGGGCAUGCUUUAAUUUCUUUUGCUUUUCACUGUUUUCAUUUGAUACACCUUGUCUAGUACUAGAAAGCUCUAUACUUCUCAAUAUUUGAGAAUUCAACAACAAACAAUGACCAUAAGGAAAUCAUGAAUAUGGACCAAUAAAAAAAUUUGCAUGUUUUGUAGACAAACUAGAUCACACUUUAGAGUUUACUGUUAUAUGUUAAGCUUUAUAUAUUAUAAACAAGAACAGACUUGCAAAACUCACACAUAUACAUAUUGCGAUUAACUCAGGCCAUCUUUUUUGCGCCUGAGGCAAUAUAAGGGUGCUAGUGCCUGGAAGGCACCUUCCGCCCUUGACAACACUGCUGCACAAUAUGAUUGAUCAUAAUUUGACUACUUAAUAUAAACAGUGCCACUUUAGAAAGUGAACGGUUAAGCUCAAUUUUUUUUUGCAUAAACAAAUAAAAUGAACACAAACAAUAUAACUUAAAAAAUAGAAUCUUCAGUAAACAUCAAGAAAUCUUCAAAGUUGAUCACAAUCAUAUACAAAGAAGCUUCAUUAUCAAUCUAAUCCUACUGACAGAGAAGAAAGGGUAAAACUAAAACCCUUCAUCUAGGAGGGAGCAUCAAAAUAGCAGGAAAUGAUCGUAACAUCAAAACAGAAAAUAAAAUAGCAAAGUUCCUAUAUCACUAAUGUCAUUCAAAUAACUGCUCGUAAGGAGAGAGAGGAUUGAAAUGUAAACCAAAACCAUUACGAAAAGGAGAAAGAGGAUUGAAAAACAAAAUCAUUUUGCUAAAUAAGGAAGACAAUGGAAUACAAAGAAAGAGUAUACCUUGUGGUGAUGAAAUCUAAAUCAUCUUGAACAUUAAUACCUCAAAUCAGAAAGGAAGGAAUUCAUAUAGUCAAUGUAAACUUAAGACCAUAAAAUCUCAAUAAUCACAGUAUUUUCAGUUCAAAACUGUCAUGCAAAUAUGUCAUCACUUACGAAACAACCAAUCAUUUUAAACCAUAAGCAAUUUAGAACCCUAUUAUCCAAUAAAAUAGCAUCAUCUUCAGCAAAAAGACAAACUUAGAAUAUAAUCAUAUGCUGAAACUGUUAAUCAUUCCUUCUCUUAUGCCUAAAAACCAUUAAGA
This 24820-nucleotide long non-coding RNA is filed under the name Gossypium barbadense (sea-island cotton). Its description in RNAcentral is "long non-coding RNA (GBAR_LNC013832)". Lineage: Eukaryota; Viridiplantae; Streptophyta; Magnoliopsida; Malvales; Malvaceae. The record is from RNAcentral.